This 105-nucleotide ribosomal RNA is filed under the name Pogona vitticeps (central bearded dragon). Lineage: Eukaryota; Metazoa; Chordata; Lepidosauria; Squamata; Agamidae. The record is from RNAcentral.
GAUAACUACCAUGCCACCUUGAACAUCUCUGUUGUCAUCUAAUUCCAGAAGUUAAGCAGAGUCAGGUCAGUACUUGGAUGGGAGAGUACCAGGCUGUAUUUGGUG